Molecule: unclassified non-coding RNA, 311 nt
Filed under: Hevea brasiliensis (rubber tree)
Lineage: Eukaryota; Viridiplantae; Streptophyta; Magnoliopsida; Malpighiales; Euphorbiaceae
Source: RNAcentral
GCUGAGAAGCUGGCCUAGAGGCUGAUAAACUGCACUUGGGCAUCAUUGUUCUUGUCCUGAAGAUUCUAGAGCAAGUAAUUGUCACUCCGGGAAAGUGGUUCCCGUGAAAAUCUGACCGCGAAAAACCUAACCCUUUCACUUUUGGGCUUAUGCCUCUCAUGAGAGUGAGGUUCUCAGCUCCACUAAGCAUUGAGGAAGCCAUGAAUGGAUGAACCAAAGAUUACCCACCAAGGAGAACAAGUGAAUUUGAAGAUUUCAAAGGAAACCCACUUGCAGACACCAGCUUAUUAAUCGGCAGUGGCGGUGGUUUG